GAUGAAGAACGUAGCGAAAUGCGAUACGUAAUGUGAAUUGCAGAAUUCAGUGAAUCAUCGAGUCUUUGAACGCACAUUGCGCCCCCUGGUAUUCCGGGGGGCAUGCCUGUCCGAGCGUCAUUGCUGCCCUCAAGCACGGCUUGUGUGUUGGGCCCCCGCCCCCCGGUUCCCGGGGGGCGGGCCCGAAAGGCAGCGGCGGCACCGCGUCCGGUCCUCGAGCGUAUGGGGCUUCGUCACCCGCUCCGUAGGCCCGGCCGGCGCCCGCCGGCGACCCCCCCCCAAUCUUUCCAGGUUGACCUCGGAUCAGGUAGGGAUACCCGCUGAACUUAAGCAUAUCAAUAAGCGGAGGA
RNAcentral lists this unclassified non-coding RNA (350 nucleotides) under soil metagenome. Its description in RNAcentral is "partial contains 5.8S ribosomal RNA, internal transcribed spacer 2, and large subunit ribosomal RNA". The stretch from base 1 to 120 matches the Rfam family "5.8S ribosomal RNA", at positions 35 to 154 of the family's 154-position model. The record is from RNAcentral.